Molecule: ribosomal RNA, 500 nt
Filed under: uncultured bacterium
Lineage: Bacteria
Description: partial 16S ribosomal RNA
Rfam family: Bacterial small subunit ribosomal RNA
Source: RNAcentral
AGUGAACGCUGGCGGUAGGCCUUACACAUGCAAGUCGAACGGCAGCACGAGGGCAACCUUGGUGGCGAGUGGCGAACGGGUGAGUAAUACAUCGGAACAUGUCCUAAAGUGGGGGAUAACGCAUCGAAAGAUGUGCUAAUACCGCAUAUUCUCUGAGGAGGAAAGUAGGGGAUCGCAAGACCUUGCGCUUUUGGAGUGGCCGAUGUCUGAUUAGCCAGUUGGUGAGGUAAAGGCUCACCAAGGCGACGAUCCGUAGCGGGUCUGAGAGGAUGAUCCGCCACACUGGAACUGAGACACGGUCCAGACUCCUACGGGAGGCAGCAGUGGGGAAUUUUGGACAAUGGGGGCAACCCUGAUCCAGCCAUGCCGCGUGCGGGAAGAAGGCCUUCGGGUUGUAAACCGCUUUUAGUCGGGACGAAAGCGCCAGGGUGAAUACCCCUGGUGGUUGACGGUACCGGCGGAAUCAGCACCGGCUAACUACGUGCCAGCAGCCGCAGUAA